RNAcentral lists this transfer RNA (69 nucleotides) under Marmota monax (woodchuck). RNAcentral describes it as "tRNA.Ala". The record is from RNAcentral. Lineage: Eukaryota; Metazoa; Chordata; Mammalia; Rodentia; Sciuridae.
CUGGGGAGUACAGUGGUACAGCACCUGCCCAGCAUGCAUGAGGCCCUGGGUUCAAAUCCCAGCACCAUA